RNAcentral lists this long non-coding RNA (760 nucleotides) under Lonchura striata (white-rumped munia). RNAcentral describes it as "domestica (Bengalese finch) lncRNA (ENSLSDG00000011852.1)". Lineage: Eukaryota; Metazoa; Chordata; Aves; Passeriformes; Estrildidae. The record is from RNAcentral.
GAAAAGUUGGGAUAUUUUACGUGAUUUGGGGUGGGAUUUAUUGGGGUGGGACUUGGAUUUUUUGGGCGAUUCGGGUGAUUUUUGGGGCGGGAUUUUGGUGCGAUUCGGAGCACUUUGGGCUGGAUUCUGGGGAUUUUGGGGCGGGAUUUUUUGUGCGAUUCGGGUGAUUUUUGGGGCGGGAUUUUUCAGAGAUUCAGGUGAUUUUUGGGGCAGGAUUUUUCGGUGAUUCGGAGCACUUUGGGCUGGAUUCGGGGGAUUUUGGGGUGGGAUUUUUUGGGCGAUUCGGGUGAUUUUGGGAUGGGAUUUUUUGGGCGAUUCGGGUGAUUUUUGGGGCGGGAUGUUUUGGCGAUUCGGGGGAUUUUGGGGUGGGAUUUUUUGGGCGAUUCGGGUGAUUUUUGGGGCAGGAUUUUUCAGCGAUUCGGAGCACUUUGGGCUGGAUUCGGGGGAUUUUUGGAGCGGGAUUUUCAUGUGAUUCAGGUGAUUUUUGGGGCAGGAUUUUUCGGCGAUUCGGAGCACUUUGGGCUGGAUUCGGGGAUUUUGGAGCGGGAUUUUUGUGCGAUUUGGGGAUUUUUGGGGCAGGAUUUUGGUGCGAUUUGGAGCACUUUGGGCUGGAUUUGGGGAUUUUGGGGCGGGAUUUUUUGUGCGAUUUGGGGAUUUUUGGGGCAGGAUUUUUCGGCGAUUCGGAGCACUUUGGGCUGGAUUCGGGGGAUUUUGGGGUGGGAUUUUUCGGCGAUUCGGAGCACUUUGGGCUGGAUUCGGG